Molecule: long non-coding RNA, 166 nt
Organism: Sphaeramia orbicularis (orbiculate cardinalfish)
Lineage: Eukaryota; Metazoa; Chordata; Actinopteri; Kurtiformes; Apogonidae
Exons: 4
Source: RefSeq, a predicted model, not a curated record
CAUGGGGGUCUGAUGGGACAGGGGUCUGGACCGGCACACAUGGGGGUCUGAUGGGACAGGGGUCUGGACCGGCACACAUGGGGGUCUGAUGGGACAGGGGUCUGGACUGGCACACAUGGGGGUCUGAUGGGACAUACAGUUGUGGGUCUGGACCAGCACAUAUGGG